Molecule: ribosomal RNA, 244 nt
Filed under: uncultured bacterium
Lineage: Bacteria
Description: partial 16S ribosomal RNA
Rfam family: Bacterial small subunit ribosomal RNA
Source: RNAcentral
UGGCGACCGGCGCACGGGUGAGUAACACGUAUCCAACCUGCCGAUAACUCGGGGAUAGCCUUUCGAAAGAAAGAUUAAUACCCGAUGGUAUAAUCAGACCGCAUGGUUUGAUUAUUAAAGAAUUUCGGUUAUCGAUGGGGAUGCGUUCCAUUAGGCAGUUGGUGAGGUAACGGCUCACCAAACCUUCGAUGGAUAGGGGUUCUGAGAGGAAGGUCCCCCACAUUGGAACUGAGACACGGUCCAA